Long non-coding RNA from Aricia agestis (brown argus), 74 nucleotides. RefSeq lists it as uncharacterized. Lineage: Eukaryota; Metazoa; Arthropoda; Insecta; Lepidoptera; Lycaenidae. The record is from RefSeq and is a predicted model, not a curated record. The transcript is spliced from 3 exons.
UUUACGGUAAUUUUAGGUGAACGCAGAUUUGGGACGCACCGCACGCUGCGCAGUUGUCGCAUUCGAUUUUUUUA